Molecule: non-coding RNA, 218 nt
Filed under: Anaerotignum neopropionicum
Lineage: Bacteria; Bacillati; Bacillota; Clostridia; Lachnospirales; Anaerotignaceae
Description: Clostridium neopropionicum T-box sequence
Rfam family: T-box leader
About the family: Uncharged tRNA acts as the effector for transcription antitermination of genes in the T-box leader family.
Source: RNAcentral
GAAUAAACUUUGAAGAGGAAGAGUACAAUACGAAAUGUUUUUUCAGAGAAUUGGCGGUUGGUGCGAGCCGAUAAAAACACGUUUUGGAACUGGCCUUGGAGUUUUGCCCCCAAAAUCAGCUUUGAUUAGUAAGCGGCAACGGUAGCCACCGUUAUUGGUUUUGAGUGUGCCUUUUGGCAAACUAGAGUGGUAACACGGAGUGUCCCUUCGUCUCUAAU